AUGGCCGCCUCGUGCGGGUGCGACGACAACAUCCUCGUUCACAGAUCCUUCUUCUGCAGCGAUCGAUCAGACUACGGCCAGCCGGGGAGCUAUGCGGGCGAUGUGAGAGGGAUUGACCUGAUCGGAGGACACGGUGGCCGGAGAAGAGAUGGUGACUUGAUCGGUGGGGGUGGGGGAGGAGGCCGGCGAGAGGGCAGUGGAGGGAGUGGCGGGGUUCUUAUAUGGAUCGGCGGGGUGGGAGCUAAUUACGCGGUGUGCAUGUGCAUUCUAGUGGCUCGUGGUUACUACGGCGUGGUCGGUGUGGGAGUCUGGGAGAGCCGUAUGAAGCUAGGGAUCGAUCGACGGAGGCCUGCCAGCGCGCGCACGGGCGUGGUGGGAGCGGCCGCUCCGUAG
RNAcentral lists this ribosomal RNA (393 nucleotides) under Triticum aestivum (bread wheat). Its description in RNAcentral is "partial small subunit ribosomal RNA". The record is from RNAcentral. Lineage: Eukaryota; Viridiplantae; Streptophyta; Magnoliopsida; Poales; Poaceae.